ACGAACGCUGGCGGCGUGCCUAAUACAUGCAAGUUGAGCGCUGAAGGUUGGUACUUGUACCAACUGGAUGAGCAGCGAACGGGUGAGUAACGCGUGGGGAAUCUGCCUUUGAGCGGGGGACAACAUUUGGAAACGAAUGCUAAUACCGCAUAAAAACUUUAAACACAAGUUUUAAGUUUGAAAGAUGCAAUUGCAUCACUCAAAGAUGAUCCCGCGUUGUAUUAGCUAGUUGGUGAGGUAAAGGCUCACCAAGGCGAUGAUACAUAGCCGACCUGAGAGGGUGAUCGGCCACAUUGGGACUGAGACACGGCCCAAACUCCUACGGGAGGCAGCAGUAGGGAAUCUUCGGCAAUGGACGAAAGUCUGACCGAGCAACGCCGCGUGAGUGAAGAAGGUUUUCGGAUCGUAAAACUCUGUUGGUAGAGAAGAACGUUGGUGAGAGUGGAAAGCUCAUCAAGUGACAGUAACUACCCAGAAAGGGACGGCUAACUACGUG
Molecule: ribosomal RNA, 496 nt
Filed under: uncultured bacterium
Lineage: Bacteria
Description: partial 16S ribosomal RNA
Rfam family: Bacterial small subunit ribosomal RNA
Source: RNAcentral